This is a non-coding RNA of Pelobates cultripes (western spadefoot toad), 939 nucleotides long. The record is from the annotation of a GenBank genome assembly. NCBI's taxonomy places the organism in Eukaryota, Metazoa, Chordata, Amphibia, Anura, Pelobatidae.
GUAGAAAUCUGAUAUACCAAAAAAAUUUAAUUCUAAGAGCUGUUACAAAACUGUGUCCUUUGCUGAAAUCUGUAGUAGUGUUUACUCCAAGAUUGAGCAAAAAUCCUGCUUAUGUUGAAUCUACUGCUCCUCAAAUAGCAGACCAGUAAAAGAAAAGCACAAAAUGCUACCGAAUCUUCUCAAAGAAAAUAUAACGACAGCUACUUAAAAUUUGGAUUCACGAGUGCCAAAAAUAAAAUUAUACCUAAGCACAAUGCUUAGUUGGCAAGAAAAUAUUGCCAAACUGUUCUUUAGCACCUGCUUAAUUAUGCUCAUCAUUUUGAGCAAAACCACCCAGAGUACAAAGAUAAAGACAUUGCCUUUCUUAAGCGAAAGCUUCAGGAGUAUCAUAAAACUAAUUUGAAAAUGAUAAAGCCACUUAUUAAAAGGUUUGUGCUACAGUGCAAAUUUUUUUUACAGGAGUUCCAUGAUGUUGGUAUACAUGUGAAAGGGUUCCACAGGAAAAAAUAUUGGGAACACCUGCACUAGGGCAAACAUCAAAGGAGACCAGUCCACUGUAAUUUUCACUAAUACAUCUGGAGCAGAAGUUUGCCCUUUCUAGAUGGCCAAAUAUAACAUGAAAAAUUCUGUUAGAACUUCCAUUGAUUAUAUUGGUCAGUUGACAAAUUUGCAUGAGUUUUGUCUGUUCUGCAUUCUUGGGCACAUAUCUAAGGAAGUAAUGAGACUGCAGUAUCAAAAGUGGUGAUAGAUCCUUUGCUGAAGUGUUGCCACUUGGUCCCUUCAGUCUUAAAACUAUUUCAGAGUGCAAUACUGGCAUUGUCUGUGCUACUGAGCUUUCGAAAGAUGUUGUAACAACUUUUUUUUUUUUACAAAAUAGACUGUUUUACUGUUAUCUCUGCAAAUUGUGUAAUUUAUAAUUCAAACGUGUUUAGAAACCCC